This is a long non-coding RNA of Drosophila persimilis, 300 nucleotides long. RefSeq lists it as uncharacterized. The transcript has 2 exons. The record is from RefSeq and is a predicted model, not a curated record. Lineage: Eukaryota; Metazoa; Arthropoda; Insecta; Diptera; Drosophilidae.
GCUCCACACGGUUGUUGUUUUAUUUGCCCUGAUGAUCGUUAGAAGGCUGUAGGAUCGUUCGUCCCCUUCAUCCUGAUCUUCCGAGAGUGUUACAUUGGCCUUAACCACAAUACAAACGGAGUGUGCUUUCAUCUUGGGAGGAGCACCCUCUGAUGGGAUGGCAGCACUACGACGUUACACCUCUAAUGAGAUCUGGAUCUCGACAUUCCCCCCAGAAAUCUUUUCAAGCCAUUGGGCAUUUCAGCGGAAAUGUCCAUCAGGGCGAGAGAACAAAGAACAUUAAAAGUCUAUUAGAACACA